GAUGAACGCUGGCGGCGUGCCUAAUACAUGCAAGUCGAGCGAACAGACCAGGAUCUUGUUCCUCUGUCGUUUGCCGCGGACGGGUGAGUAACACGUGGAUCACCUCCCUAUCAUACUGGGAUCACUUCGAGACUCCGGCUCAUAUACCGUAUAAUCUAUUGCUCCGCAUUGUUCAAUAGUGAAAUACGGUUUUGCUGUCUCUUCUCGCUGCUUCCGCGCCGGAUUAGCUAGUUGUUAAGGUCCCGGCUUUUCAAGGCUACGAUGCGUAGCCGACCUGAGAGGGUGAUCGGCCACACUGGAACUGAGACACGGUACAGACUCCUACGGGAGGCAGCAGUAGGGAAACUUCAGCAAGGGGCGAAAGACAGACGGAGCAACGCCGCGUGAUUGAUGAAGGUCUUCGGAUCGUAAAACUCUGUUAUUAGGGAAGAACACAUGUGUAAGUAACUAUGCACGUCUUGAAGGUACAUAAGCAGAAAGCCACGGCUAAAUAAGUG
RNAcentral lists this ribosomal RNA (497 nucleotides) under uncultured bacterium. Its description in RNAcentral is "partial 16S ribosomal RNA". It matches the Rfam family "Bacterial small subunit ribosomal RNA", at positions 28 to 507 of the family's 1533-position model. The record is from RNAcentral.